RNAcentral lists this ribosomal RNA (253 nucleotides) under uncultured bacterium. RNAcentral's name for it is "partial 16S ribosomal RNA". It matches the Rfam family "Bacterial small subunit ribosomal RNA", at positions 524 to 776 of the family's 1533-position model. The record is from RNAcentral.
UACGUAGGGGGCAAGCGUUGUCCGGAUUUAUUGGGCGUAAAGAGCGUGUAGGCGGCCAGACAAGUCUGCUGUGAAAACUCGAGGCUCAACCUCGAGCUGUCGGUGGAAACUGUCUGGCUAGAGUCCGGAAGAGGUAAGUGGAAUUGCGAGUGUAGAGGUGAAAUUCGUAGAUAUUCGCAGGAACACCAGUGGCGAAGGCGGCUUACUGGUCCAUAACUGACGCUGAGGUGCGAAAGCGUGGGGAGCAAACAGG